GGGCCCAUAGCUCAGCGGCAGAGCGGCUGGCUCAUAACCGGUUGGUCCCUGGUUCGAAUCCAGGUGGGCCCA
RNAcentral lists this transfer RNA (72 nucleotides) under Chloroflexota bacterium. Its description in RNAcentral is "Chloroflexi bacterium (anaerobic digester metagenome) tRNA-Ile". It matches the Rfam family "tRNA". Rfam says of the family: Transfer RNA (tRNA) molecules are approximately 80 nucleotides in length. Their secondary structure includes four short double-helical elements and three loops (D, anti-codon, and T loops). Further hydrogen bonds mediate the characteristic L-shaped molecular structure. tRNAs have two regions of fundamental functional importance: the anti-codon, which is responsible for specific mRNA codon recognition, and the 3' end, to which the tRNAs corresponding amino acid is attached (by aminoacyl-tRNA synthetases). tRNAs cope with the degeneracy of the genetic code in two manners: having more than one tRNA (with a specific anti-codon) for a particular amino acid; and 'wobble' base-pairing, i.e. permitting non-standard base-pairing at the 3rd anti-codon position. RNAcentral also lists the same sequence under 1 other name. The record is from RNAcentral. Lineage: Bacteria; Bacillati; Chloroflexota.